RNAcentral lists this ribosomal RNA (374 nucleotides) under uncultured bacterium. RNAcentral's name for it is "bacterial SSU rRNA". It matches the Rfam family "Bacterial small subunit ribosomal RNA", at positions 524 to 896 of the family's 1533-position model. The record is from RNAcentral.
UACGAGGGGUCUAAGCGUUGUUCGGAAUCACUGGGCGUAAAGCGGGUGUAGGUGGCUUGGUAAGUUAGAUGUGAAAGCCCCGGGCUCAACCCGGGAAGUGCAUCUAAAACUGCUUAGCUUGAGUACGGGAGAGGGAAGCAGAAUUCCUGGUGUAGUGGUGAAAUACGUAGAUAUCAGGAGGAACACCGGUGGCGAAGGCGGUUUCCUGGCCCAGUACUGACACUCAGACCCGAAAGCGUGGGUAGCAAACAGGAUUAGAUACCCUGGUAGUCCACGCCUUAAACGAUGAUCACUUGGUGUUGGAGGUAUUGACCCCUUCAGUGCCGUAGCUAACGCGUUAAGUGAUCCGCCUGGGAAGUACGGUCGCAAGAUUA